CCUACGGGGGGCAGCAGUAGGGAAUAUUGCGCAAUGGGGGAAACCCUGACGCAGCAACGCCGCGUGGAGGAUGAAGGUUUUCGGAUUGUAAACUCCUUUUGUUAGAGAAGAUCAUGACGGUAUCUAACGAAUAAGCACCGGCUAACUCCGUGCCAGCAGCCGCGGUAAUACGGAGGGUGCAAGCGUUACUCGGAAUCACUGGGCGUAAAGCGCGCGUAGGCGGGAUAGCAAGUCAGAUGUGAAAUCCUUGGGCUUAACCAGAGAACUGCAUUUGACACUGUUAUUCUAGAGUAUGUGAGAGGAAGGUGGAAUUCUAGGUGUAGGGGUAAAAUCCGUAGAGAUCUAGAGGAACA
Molecule: ribosomal RNA, 353 nt
Filed under: uncultured bacterium
Lineage: Bacteria
Description: partial 16S ribosomal RNA
Rfam family: Bacterial small subunit ribosomal RNA
Source: RNAcentral